RNAcentral lists this ribosomal RNA (506 nucleotides) under uncultured bacterium. RNAcentral describes it as "partial 16S ribosomal RNA". It matches the Rfam family "Bacterial small subunit ribosomal RNA", at positions 30 to 523 of the family's 1533-position model. The record is from RNAcentral.
AUUGAACGCUGGCGGCAGGCCUAACACAUGCAAGUCGAGCGGCAGCGGAAAGUAGCUUGCUACUUUGCCGGCGAGCGGCGGACGGGUGAGUAAUGUCUGGGAAACUGCCUGAUGGAGGGGGAUAACUACUGGAAACGGUAGCUAAUACCGCAUAACGUCGCAAGACCAAAGAGGGGGACCUUCGGGCCUCUUGCCAUCAGAUGUGCCCAGAUGGGAUUAGCUAGUAGGUGGGGUAACGGCUCACCUAGGCGACGAUCCCUAGCUGGUCUGAGAGGAUGACCAGCCACACUGGAACUGAGACACGGUCCAGACUCCUACGGGAGGCAGCAGUGGGGAAUAUUGCACAAUGGGCGCAAGCCUGAUGCAGCCAUGCCGCGUGUAUGAAGAAGGCCUUCGGGUUGUAAAGUACUUUCAGCGGGGAGGAAGGCGGUGGAGUUAAUAGCUUCACCGAUUGACGUUACCCGCAGAAGAAGCACCGGCUAACUCCGUGCCAGCCGCCGCCGUAA